RNAcentral lists this ribosomal RNA (2125 nucleotides) under Acinetobacter baumannii 1195185_11. Its description in RNAcentral is "bacterial LSU rRNA". It matches the Rfam family "Bacterial large subunit ribosomal RNA", at positions 14 to 2175 of the family's 2925-position model. Lineage: Bacteria; Pseudomonadati; Pseudomonadota; Gammaproteobacteria; Moraxellales; Moraxellaceae. The record is from RNAcentral.
AGUGCAUGUGGUGGAUGCCUUGGCAGUCAGAGGCGAUGAAAGACGUGAUAGCCUGCGAAAAGCUCCGGGGAGGCGGCAAAUAUCCUUUGAUCCGGAGAUGUCUGAAUGGGGGAACCCACCUACUUUAAGGUAGGUAUUGCAACAUGAAUACAUAGUGUUGCAAGGCGAACGAGGGGAAGUGAAACAUCUCAGUACCCUUAGGAAAAGAAAUCAAUUGAGAUUCCCUCAGUAGCGGCGAGCGAACGGGGAUCAGCCCAUUAAGUUAUGUGUGUUUUAGUGGAACGCUCUGGGAAGUGCGAACGUAGAGGGUGAUAUUCCCGUACACGAAAGGGCACACAUAAUGAUGACGAGUAGGGCGAGGCACGUGAAACCUUGUCUGAAUAUGGGGGGACCAUCCUCCAAGGCUAAAUACUCCUGACUGACCGAUAGUGAACCAGUACCGUGAGGGAAAGGCGAAAAGAACCCCUGUGAGGGGAGUGAAAUAGAUCCUGAAACCGCAUGCAUACAAGCAGUGGGAGCACCUUCGUGGUGUGACUGCGUACCUUUUGUAUAAUGGGUCAGCGACUUAUAUUCAGUAGCGAGGUUAACCGUAUAGGGGAGCCGUAGAGAAAUCGAGUCUUAAUAGGGCGUUUAGUUGCUGGGUAUAGACCCGAAACCAGGCGAUCUAUCCAUGAGCAGGUUGAAGGUUGGGUAACACUAACUGGAGGACCGAACCCACUGUCGUUGAAAAGCCAGGGGAUGACUUGUGGAUAGGGGUGAAAGGCUAAUCAAGCCUGGUGAUAGCUGGUUCUCCCCGAAAGCUAUUUAGGUAGCGCCUCGGACGAAUACCAUAGGGGGUAGAGCACUGUUUCGGCUAGGGGGUCAUCCCGACUUACCAAACCGAUGCAAACUCCGAAUACCUAUGAGUACUAUCCGGGAGACAGACUGCGGGUGCUAACGUCCGUAGUCAAGAGGAAAACAAUCCAGACCGCCAGCUAAGGCCCCAAAAUCAUAGUUAAGUGGGAAACGAUGUGGGAAGGCAUAGACAGCUAGGAGGUUGGCUUAGAAGCAGCCACCCUUUAAAGAAAGCGUAAUAGCUCACUAGUCGAGUCGGCCUGCGCGGAAGAUGUAACGGGGCUAAAACUAUGUGCCGAAGCUGCGGAUGUAUACUUUGUAUACGUGGUAGGGGAGCGUUCUGUAAGCCGAUGAAGGUGUGUUGAGAAGCAUGCUGGAGGUAUCAGAAGUGCGAAUGCUGACGUGAGUAACGACAAAACGGGUGAAAAACCCGUUCGCCGAAAGACCAAGGGUUCCAGUCCAACGUUAAUCGGGGCUGGGUGAGUCGACCCCUAAGGCGAGGCCGAAAGGCGUAGUCGAUGGGAAAAUGGUUAAUAUUCCAUUACUUCUGUGUAAUGCGAUGAGAGGACGGAGAAGGCUAAAUCAGCCUGGCGUUGGUUGUCCAGGUGAAAGGAUGUAGGCAUGUAUCUUAGGCAAAUCCGGGGUACUCUAUGCUGAGAUCUGAUAGCAAGCUGUACUUGUACAGCGAAGUGGUUGAUGCCAUGCUUCCAGGAAAAGUCUCUAAGCUUCAGUUACACAGGAAUCGUACCCGAAACCGACACAGGUGGUCAGGUCGAGUAGACCAAGGCGCUUGAGAGAACUCUGCUGAAGGAACUAGGCAAAAUGGUACCGUAACUUCGGGAGAAGGUACGCUGUUGUUGGUGAUGGAACUCGCUUCCUGAGCUGACGACAGCCGCAGAAACCAGGCCGCUGCAACUGUUUAUUAAAAACAUAGCACUCUGCAAACACGAAAGUGGACGUAUAGGGUGUGAUGCCUGCCCGGUGCUGGAAGGUUAAUUGAUGGGGUUAGCGUAAGCGAAGCUCUUGAUCGAAGCCCCAGUAAACGGCGGCCGUAACUAUAACGGUCCUAAGGUAGCGAAAUUCCUUGUCGGGUAAGUUCCGACCUGCACGAAUGGCAUAAUGAUGGCGGCGCUGUCUCCAGCAGAGGCUCAGUGAAAUCGAAAUCGCUGUGAAGAUGCAGUGUACCCGCGGCUAGACGGAAAGACCCCGUGAACCUUUACUGCAGCUUGACACUGAACUUUGACCUUACUUGUGUAGGAUAGGUGGGAGGCUUUGAAGCUGGAACGCUAGU